This is a small nuclear RNA of Phyllostomus hastatus (greater spear-nosed bat), 106 nucleotides long. Lineage: Eukaryota; Metazoa; Chordata; Mammalia; Chiroptera; Phyllostomidae. The record is from RefSeq and is a predicted model, not a curated record.
GUGCUCGCUUCGCAGCAUGCGAACUAAAGCUGGAACGACACAGAGAAGCUUAGCAUGGCCCCUGCACAAGGACGACACGCAAAUUCGUGAAGGGUUCCAUAUUUUA